AGGAAUAUUGGUCAAUGGGCGAGAGCCUGAACCAGCCAAGUAGCGUGAAGGAUGACUGCCCUAUGGGUUGUAAACUUCUUUUAUAAAGGAAUAAAGUCGGGUAUGGAUACCCGUUUGCAUGUACUUUAUGAAUAAGGAUCGGCUAACUCCGUGCCAGCAGCCGCGGUAAUACGGAGGAUCCGAGCGUUAUCCGGAUUUAUUGGGUUUAAAGGGAGCGUAGAUGGAUGUUUAAGUCAGUUGUGAAAGUUUGCGGCUCAACCGUAAAAUUGCAGUUGAUACUGGAUAUCUUGAGUGCAGUUGAGGCAGGCGGAAUUCGUGGUGUAGCGGUGAAAUGCUUAGAUAUCACGAAGAACUCCGAUUGCGAAGGCAGCCUGCUAAGCUGCAACUGACAUUGAGGCUCGAAAGUGUGGGUAUCAAACAGGAUUAGAUACCCUGGUAGUCCACACAGUAAACGAUGAAUACUCGCUGUUUGCGAUAUACAGUAAGCGGCCAAGCGAAAGCGUUAAGUAUUCCACCUGGGGAGUACGCCGGCAACGGUGAAACUCAAAGGAAUUGACGGGGGCCCGCACAAGCGGAGGAACAUGUGGUUUAAUUCGAUGAUACGCGAGGAACCUUACCCGGGCUUGAAUUGCAACUGAAUGAUGUGGAGACAUGUCAGCCGCAAGGCAGUUGUGAAGGUGCUGCAUGGUUGUCGUCAGCUCGUGCCGUGAGGUGUCGGCUUAAGUGCCAUAACGAGCGCAACCCUUAUCGAUAGUUACCAUCAGGUUAUGCUGGGGACUCUGUCGAGACUGCCGUCGUAAGAUGUGAGGAAGGUGGGGAUGACGUCAAAUCAGCACGGCCCUUACGUCCGGGGCUACACACGUGUUACAAUGGGGGGUACAGAAGGCAGCUACACGGCGACGUGAUGCUAAUCCCUAAAGCCUCUCUCAGUUCGGAUUGGAGUCUGCAACCCGACUCCAUGAAGCUGGAUUCGCUAGUAAUCGCGCAUCAGCCACGGCGCGGUGAAUACGUUCCCG
RNAcentral lists this ribosomal RNA (1016 nucleotides) under uncultured bacterium. RNAcentral's name for it is "bacterial SSU rRNA". It matches the Rfam family "Bacterial small subunit ribosomal RNA", at positions 357 to 1376 of the family's 1533-position model. The record is from RNAcentral.